GACGAACGCUGGCGGCGCGCUUAACACAUGCAAGUCGAACGGAAAGGCCUGCUUUCCCUUGUGGAUUGCGGGUACUCGAGUGGCGAACGGGUGAGUAACACGUGAGUGAUCUGCCCCCAACUUGGGUAUAAGCCUGGGAAACUGGGUCUAAUUCCCGAUAGGACUGCAGGGUGGUGCCUGUGGUGGAAAACGAUUUUCUAGUGGUUGGGGAUGAGCUCGCGGCCUAUCAGCUUGUUGGUGGGGUAAUGGCCUACCAAGGCGGCGACGGGUAGUCGGCCUGGGAGGGUGGACGGCCACAUUGGGACUGAGAUACGGCCCAGACUCCGACGGGAGGCAGCAGUGGGGAAGAUUGCACAAUGGGCGGAAGCCUGAUGCAGCGACGCCGCGUGGGGGAUGACGGCCUUCGGGUGGUAAACUCCUUUCGACCGCGAGGAAGCCACCUGGUUGGAAGGGUGGUGACGGUAGUGGUAGAAGAAGCACCGGCUAACUACGUG
RNAcentral lists this ribosomal RNA (494 nucleotides) under uncultured bacterium. RNAcentral's name for it is "partial 16S ribosomal RNA". It matches the Rfam family "Bacterial small subunit ribosomal RNA", at positions 28 to 507 of the family's 1533-position model. The record is from RNAcentral.